GUACUCCACCACGAGCAGCGAAAGCACGCUCAACCAAUCCUCACUCGAUGGCUUUGUCCUUGAAAGAAAGCCAAACCACUCGCAGAUGGAUUUUUUUCUACCUUUACAGCUCACUCUGUCAGUCCAUUAACGCCACCCAUAUCAUGA
Molecule: ribosomal RNA, 147 nt
Filed under: Triticum aestivum (bread wheat)
Lineage: Eukaryota; Viridiplantae; Streptophyta; Magnoliopsida; Poales; Poaceae
Description: partial small subunit ribosomal RNA
Source: RNAcentral